RNAcentral lists this ribosomal RNA (504 nucleotides) under uncultured bacterium. RNAcentral's name for it is "partial 16S ribosomal RNA". It matches the Rfam family "Bacterial small subunit ribosomal RNA", at positions 29 to 507 of the family's 1533-position model. The record is from RNAcentral.
ACGAACGCUGGCGGCGUGCCUAAUACAUGCAAGUAGAACGCACAGUUUAUACCGUAGCUUGCUACACCAUAAACUGUGAGUUGCGAACGGGUGAGUAACGCGUAGGUAAUCUGCCUGGUAGCGGGGGAUAACUAUUAGAAACGAUAGCUAAUACCGCAUAAUAUUGAUUAUUGCAUGAUAAUUGAUUGAAAGAUGCUAUUGCAUCACUACCAGAUGGACCUGCGUUGUAUUAGCUAGUAGGUGAGGUAACGGCUCACCUAGGCGACGAUACAUAGCCGACCUGAGAGGGUGAUCGGCCACACUGGGACUGAGACACGGCCCAGACUCCUACGGGAGGCAGCAGUAGGGAAUCUUCGGCAAUGGACGAAAGUCUGACCGAGCAACGCCGCGUGAGUGAAGAAGGUUUUCGGAUCGUAAAGCUCUGUUGUAAGAGAAGAACGGGUGUGAGAGUGGAAAGUUCACACUGUGACGGUAUCUUACCAGAAAGGGACGGCUAACUACGUG